GAUGAACGCUGGCGGCGUGCCUAAUACAUGCCAGUCGAGCGAACAGACGAGGAGCUUGCUCCUCUGACGUUAGCGGCGGACGGGUGAGUAACACGUGGAUAACCUACCUAUAAGACUGGGAUAACUUCGGGAAACCGGAGCUAAUACCGGAUAAUAUAUUGAACCGCAUGGUUCAAUAGUGAAAGACGGUUUUGCUGUCACUUAUAGAUGGAUCCGCGCCGCAUUAGCUAGUUGGUAAGGUAACGGCUUACCAAGGCAACGAGGCGUAGCCGACCUGAGAGGGUGAUCGGCGACACGGGAAGGGAGACACGGUCCAGACUCCUACGGGAGGCAGCAGUAGGGAAUCUGACGCAAUGGGCGAAAGCCUGACGGAGCAACGCCGCGUGAGUGAUGAAGGUCUUCGGAUCGUAAAACUCUGUUAUUAGGGAAGAACAAAUGUGUAAGUAACUAUGCACAUCUUGACGGUACCUAAUCAGAAAGCCACGGCUAACUACGUG
RNAcentral lists this ribosomal RNA (497 nucleotides) under uncultured bacterium. Its description in RNAcentral is "partial 16S ribosomal RNA". It matches the Rfam family "Bacterial small subunit ribosomal RNA", at positions 28 to 507 of the family's 1533-position model. The record is from RNAcentral.